GAUGAACGCUAGCGAUAGGCUUAACACAUGCAAGUCGAGGGGCAGCAUGGUCUUAGCUUGCUAAGGCUGAUGGCGACCGGCGCACGGGUGCGUAACGCGUAUGCAACUUGCCUCACAGAGGGGGAUAACCCGUCGAAAGACGGACUAAUACCGCGUACACUCUAUGUUGGGCAUCCAAUGUAGAGGAAAUGAAAUUCGCUGUGAGAUAGGCAUGCGUCCCAUUAGCUAGUUGGUGAGGUAACGGCUCACCAAGGCGACGAUGGGUAGGGGAACUGAGAGGUUGAACCCCCACACUGGUACUGAGACACGGACCAGACUCCUACGGGAGGCAGCAGUGAGGAAUAUUGGUCAAUGGGCGAGAGCCUGAACCAGCCAAGUCGCGUGAAGGAUGACUGUCUUAUGGAUUGUAAACUUCUUUUAAACGGGAAUAACAAGAGUCACGUGUGGCUCCCUGCAUGUACCGUAUGAAUAAGCAUCGGCUAACUCCGUG
Molecule: ribosomal RNA, 490 nt
Filed under: uncultured bacterium
Lineage: Bacteria
Description: partial 16S ribosomal RNA
Rfam family: Bacterial small subunit ribosomal RNA
Source: RNAcentral